Non-coding RNA from Triticum aestivum (bread wheat), 135 nucleotides. The record is from Rfam. NCBI's taxonomy places the organism in Eukaryota, Viridiplantae, Streptophyta, Magnoliopsida, Poales, Poaceae.
UAGAUACUCCCUCCGUCCGAAAAUACUUGUCAUCAAAAUGAACAAAAAGCGAUGUAUGUAGAACUAAAAUACAUCUAGAUACAUCCCUUUUUAUUCAUUUUGAUGACAAGUAUUUCCGGACGGAGGGAGUAUAAG